AUUGAACGCUGGCGGCAGGCCUAACACAUGCAAGUCGAGCGGAUGAAGGGAGCUUGCUCCUGGAUUCAGCGGCGGACGGGUGAGUAAUGCCUAGGAAUCUGCCUGGUAGUGGGGGAUAACGUCCGGAAACGGGCGCUAAUACCGCAUACGUCCUGAGGGAGAAAGUGGGGGAUCUUCGGACCUCACGCUAUCAGAUGAGCCUAGGUCGGAUUAGCUAGUUGGUGGGGUAAAGGCCUACCAAGGCGACGAUCCGUAACUGGUCUGAGAGGAUGAUCAGUCACACUGGAACUGGGACACGGUCCAGACUCCUACGGGAGGCAGCAGUAGGGAAUAUUGGACAAUGGGCGAAAGCCUGAUCCAGCCAUGCCGCGUGUGUGAAGAAGGUCUUCGGAUUGUAAAGCACUUUAAGUUGGGAGGAAGGGCAGUAAGUUAAUACCUUGCUGUUUUGACGUUACCAACAGAAUAAGCACCGGCUAACUUCGUG
RNAcentral lists this ribosomal RNA (484 nucleotides) under uncultured bacterium. Its description in RNAcentral is "partial 16S ribosomal RNA". It matches the Rfam family "Bacterial small subunit ribosomal RNA", at positions 30 to 507 of the family's 1533-position model. The record is from RNAcentral.